AGGUAGAGUGGCCGACAGUUAGGUGGCAGGCUGUAGUCCUGCAAACAUGGGUUUAAGUNUUAUUUCUAUC
RNAcentral lists this transfer RNA (70 nucleotides) under Bavayia periclitata. RNAcentral's name for it is "tRNA-Tyr". The record is from RNAcentral. Lineage: Eukaryota; Metazoa; Chordata; Lepidosauria; Squamata; Diplodactylidae.